This 436-nucleotide ribosomal RNA is filed under the name Botryosphaeria sp. UFMGCB 4746. RNAcentral's name for it is "eukaryotic LSU rRNA". The stretch from base 79 to 232 matches the Rfam family "5.8S ribosomal RNA". The record is from RNAcentral. Lineage: Eukaryota; Fungi; Ascomycota; Dothideomycetes; Botryosphaeriales; Botryosphaeriaceae.
GGUGGUCAGCGCCCGCCAAAUGACCAUCAAACUCCAGUCAGUAAACGACGCAGUCUGAAAAAACAUUUAAUAAACUAAAACUUUCAACAACGGAUCUCUUGGUUCUGGCAUCGAUGAAGAACGCAGCGAAAUGCGAUAAGUAAUGUGAAUUGCAGAAUUCAGUGAAUCAUCGAAUCUUUGAACGCACAUUGCGCCCUUUGGUAUUCCGAAGGGCAUGCCUGUUCGAGCGUCAUUACAACCCUCAAGCUCUGCUUGGUAUUUGGGCACCGUCCUUUGCGGGCGCGCCUCAAAGACCUCGGCGGUGGCGUCUAUGCCUCAAGCGUAGUAAACAUACAUCUCGCUUCGGAGCGCAAGGCGUCGCCCGCCGGACGAACCUUCUGAACUUUUCUCAAGGUUGACCUCGGAUCAAGUAAGGAUAACCCGGUAACUUAAGCAU